RNAcentral lists this long non-coding RNA (296 nucleotides) under Dromaius novaehollandiae (emu). RNAcentral describes it as "lncRNA (ENSDNVG00000012720.1)". The record is from RNAcentral. Lineage: Eukaryota; Metazoa; Chordata; Aves; Casuariiformes; Dromaiidae.
GAAUUCUGCUGCUUCUCCUGUAGAUGGGUGCAGGAAUUGUGAACCAUCACAGAUAAUGGACAGAUCUUUGACAUGUUGUAGUGACUUGGAGGAACAGAUCUUGCGAUUCCACAUGCACUACAAGCCACAUAACCUACCACGGAGAUUCUGACCUAUUUUCUCUUAUCUGGGAAUCAUUAAUACCAUGUGCAGACAAGAAGCAUCUGAUCAGAGACCGGUGCUAGAAUUCUAGCCAAAGGCCAUAUCAUGUCUCAAAGUUUUGUGGAAUAAAAUGGCUCUAGAAGAGGUGGUCCUUA